RNAcentral lists this long non-coding RNA (3736 nucleotides) under Homo sapiens (human). RNAcentral's name for it is "PREDICTED lncRNA (TCONS_00100428)". Lineage: Eukaryota; Metazoa; Chordata; Mammalia; Primates; Hominidae. The record is from RNAcentral.
CUGCAGUGGCGCGAUCUUGGCUCACUGCAACCUCCGCCUCCUGGAUUCAAGCGAUUCUUCUGCCUCAGCCUCCCGAGUAGCUAGGAUUACAGGCAUGUGUCACCACGCCCGGCUAAUUUUGUAUUUUUAGUAGAGACGGGGUUUCUCCGUGUUGGUCAGGCUGGUCUCGAACUCCUGACCUCAGGUGAUCUGCCCGCCUCGGCCUCCCAAAGUGCUGAGAUUACAGACGUGAGCCACCGUGCCUGGCGGAAUUUUCAUAUUUUAAGUCCCCCACCCUUGGACAUUUAGAUUUUUUCCAUCUUUCUGUAUUUGCAGAUAUGCUUCUACGUACACCUUUAUUCAUUUGCUUGAACAUUUCCCUGAGAAAAACUAGAAAUGGAAUUGCCAGAUUACUUUGUGUACAUGUUUCCAAACUGUCCUCCAGAAAGAAUGUAAUGCUUUGAACUUCCACUUGAGAAUCAAAUGUUUACCUUCCUCUGUUCCUCCAGAUUUGGACAUUUACAGUGUUCAGCCGUUGUUGUGGCAUUCCAAUUCAAUUGGGAAACAGCUUGAUGUAGCGUCCCCAUAAGGUCCACAGUAAUUAAAUUUUUUUUUUUUUUUUUUGGUGCGGUAGUGCAAUUUCAUGGCUCACUGCAACCUCCACCUCCCAGGUUCAAGCGAUCCUCCCAUCUCAGCCUCCCUAGUAGCUGGGAUUACAGGUGCACGCCACCACACCAGGCUAAUUUUUGUAUUUUUAGUAGAGAUGGGGUUUCACCAGGUUAGCCAGGCUGGUCUUGAACUCCAGACCUCAAGGGAUCCGCCUGCCUCAGCUUUCCAAAGUGCUGGGAUUACAGGUGGAGACUGGACCUCAGAAGAGGGAGUGGGUGCCCCGAGAACUCACAGCUAGCGGACAGUGGAAAGGGCAGGAGCCGGACCAAGGUGAGGACAGUGGAACUGAAGGCCGCUGGUUACCUCUCCUGCCCUCCGCUGGCCACAGUGGAGAAGACAGCCCCUCCCUCCUGCUCUGACCUGACAGUGUUCAUCCAUCGCCCUGUAUUAGCGAAGAACAACAUCAAGCUGGCUAGCAAGGAACUGUAUACAGGGUCCAGCUGGGUAUCACACUGGAUCUCACCCAAAGCUUAGAUGUGAUCCAGCUCAGUAUCACAAAGCAGAACGAAAAGGAUGUGUUUGGGCUGAGAGGCCAUACAUUGGCUCCGGCAUGACGGGUGACUUCUUCCGAGUCUGGCUUCUGCAGCACACAGGGCUUCGCCAGCACCCAGCUCCUGCAGCAUGGGCAGCUCCUGUGACAGCAGGCGCCCGCAGCCUGCAAAGCGUCUCCAGUGCCGCCGCCUCAGUGAACCUCAACCAGCGGCACCUAGCAGCUUUCUCUGCCACCCUCUUCAGGUAGUUCUGUAGCAGCGCGUUUCUCAUGAGACACUUCCCUGUGAGCAGCUUUUUCUACCCUUGAGGAUGGAUUUCCAGCAAAUUCUGCCCAUGUGGUACCACAGCCACUUCUCUGCCAUUCAGUGAAACUGCCGUUGUGCCCUCUUCAAGGUCUGGAUCUAAGCCCAGGGACCAGGAAACCUCUUGCUUGAGUGCUGGAACUCAGGCCAGAAGGACAUCCCUGUAGAAGUUCUGCUGCGUGUGGUCCAGCCGUCCCCACUCCUCCCGGGAGAGGUACAAGGCCACAUCCUCGAAAGUCACUGGCAUCUGAAACAAUGUGAAACAUCCACUCUCCAGGACAUGACGUGGACACGGUGGAGGGACACCAUGGCAUGAGAUGUGUGGUGAGACCCCGGACUCCCAACCCACUGUGUCGAGUGAGGCCUGCCACUUCCAUCUGAUCGGGAAGCAGGUGAGCCACCCAAGGCCUUCUGGGGAGUUGAGAAAGAACAAAGACCAAGAGGUAUUUUCAGGGAUCACAGUUAAGACUUAGGAUGUCCAUGCAGCCCCCAGCCUCAGCUGAGACCUCGGAGGACGGUUCCCAACGGCUACCAGCGAGAGGCCCUGUGUCUCUAAUUCCUGCUGCUUCUCCUCCAGCUUUGGCCCAGGCCUGACCAUGGGCCUUGAGCCUGGACAAUUCCAGCAACACUAGCAAGAGCCCCAGGCUUCAGGCUUGGCUGCAAGUGGGGCCAGCGGGGUCCUGGCUUUCACACAGAACCAGCAGAUGCAGGAAGGGCUGAGUACCAUGCAGGGGCCGGGGAAGGGCCACUCACCUGGGACCAGGCAGUGAGGAGCGCUGCAGCCAUCUGCCGGUCUCUGGUCCUCCCCUCUCGGGAAAGCACGGGGAUCCGGGGGGAGGGGAGGGCUGUGGGAGGAGAGAGGUCCUCACGGUGAUCAGCUCAUCCUGCUGGACCUGCUGCUACUUCAGCUGCCUCAAACUCCACCCCUGGCCCGACCCAAGGACAGGGUCGGAUGGCUCUGACGCUGCCAGGGGGCUGUGGGCCAUGGGGGGAUAGCGUCCCCUGCUGGCAUAGAGACCCUCAGCCCCACCUGGACCUGGGCCAAACCUCCACCUCCCCACAGCUGCCUCCCUGGGAAAGCGCCUCUUCCCCGUCCCUCUCCUACCUCCGCCAGGCAGGAAGAGAGCUUUCUCCUUAGAGCCGUGACUUAGGGGUGCCCAGCCCCAGGCACCUUGAGCCCCAUCCUCCUGCGAUGCCCCCUCGGAGUGUGGCUCUUCGGGCUCCAUCUUAAUGUGCAGUGACUCCUGAGUGUCCCCUGAAGGUACCGCCUCCCCCAGCUUAGAAGGCAUUUCCUGAUGAGGAUGUCCACGAUCUGGAACCUAGAAAGGACAGCCCCAUCAGCACCCAGAUGAGUGGGAGAGACACCCAGGGCCACAUGGCAGUGCGCUCCGGCAGCGUCGGAAACCAACAUGCAAGACGCAGCUUGAAGGACUGUCCUUGCUGCAUUCAUCCAGCUCACCCCAGCAAGGACGGGCGGCAAGAGGAGGAAUAUUCACCAAGCCGCCUCCACAGUGCCGGUGGGCGUGGUGCCCAAGGGCAGCUACCCCUUCUCAGCUCCAGCCUCACACUGACCUCAGCAGUGUAGACUGCUGUCUAUUAGUGUAUGAAGAAACCAAGUGUAGUGGCUUGAAUAGUGUCCUCUAAGAAUCCGUGUCCUCCCUGGACCUCAGAAUGGGACCUUAUUGGGGAAAAGGGUCUUUAUACAGAAUAGGAGAGGACACAGAGACACAGAGAAGGAAGCAGAGACUGGAGGGAUGCCCACACCAAGGACACCAGGAGCCCCCAAGGAGUUGGAAGAGACGGAGUUUCGCUCUUCUUCCCAUGCUGGAGUGCAAUGGCGCAAUCUCAGCUCACCCCAACCUCCGCCUCCUGGGUUCAAGCGAUUCUCCUGCCUCAGCCUCCUGAUUACCUGGGAUUACAGGCAUGUGCCACCACACCUGGCUAAUUUUGUGUUUUUAGUAGAGAUGGGGUUUCUCCAUGUCGGUCAGGCUGGUCUGGAACUCCUGACCUCAGGUGAUCCGCCCACCUCAGCCUCCUAAAAUGCUGGGAUUACAGGCGUGAGCCACCGCGCCCAGCCUAUAAAAUUGAUUCUUUAAAAAAAAUUAGAACAUUUACCGAUGCUGGACCCACCUUCCCCACCUUCAGGGUCCACUUUCUAGGUGGCCACAGUGCCUGCUUGGCCCCUGUAGCAUUUGAGUUUGCAACUCUGCUUUUGGAGUUAAACAUGUUUUAGGAGUCCUGGGAUUCUGAUUGAUGCUAUUGUCAAUUUGAUGAAAGAAAAAUUACUCCUGGGA